Molecule: ribosomal RNA, 473 nt
Filed under: Treponema sp. canine oral taxon 207
Lineage: Bacteria; Pseudomonadati; Spirochaetota; Spirochaetia; Treponematales; Treponemataceae
Description: bacterial SSU rRNA
Rfam family: Bacterial small subunit ribosomal RNA
Source: RNAcentral
GAGUUUGAUUCUGGCUCAGAACGAACGCUGGCGGCGCGUCUUAAGCAUGCAAGUCGAACGGUAAGGGAGAGCUUGCUCUCCCCUAGAGUGGCGGACUGGUGAGUAACGCGUAGGUGACCUACCCUGAAGAUGGGGACAGCUAGUAGAAAUAUUAGAUAAUACCGAAUAAGCUCAUUUGCAUAAAGGCAGAUGAGGAAAGGAGCUACGGCUCCGCUUUAGGAUGGGCCUGCGUCCCAUUAGCUAAGUUGGUGAGGUAAAGGCUUACCAAGGCAACGAUGGGUAUCCGGCCUGAGAGGGUGAACGGACACAUUGGGACUGAGAUACGGCCCAAACUCCUACGGGAGGCAGCAGCUAAGAAUCUUCCGCAAUGGACGAAAGUCUGACGGAGCGACGCCGUGUGAAUGAAGAAGGCUGAAAAGUUGUAAAAUUCUUUUGCAGAUGAAGAAUAAGGAUAGGAGGGAAUGCCUAUCUGA